AGUGAACGCUGGCGGUAGGCCUAACACAUGCAAGUCGAACGGCAGCACAGUAAGAGCUUGCUCUUACGGGUGGCGAGUGGCGGACGGGUGAGGAAUACAUCGGAAUCUACUUUUUCGUGGGGGCUAACGUAGGGAAACUUACGCUAAUACCGCAUACGAUCUACGGGUGAAAGCAGGGGAGCUUCGGACCUUUCGCGAUUGAAUGAGCCGAUGUCGGAUUAGCUAGUUGGCGGGGUAAAGGCCCACCAAGGCGACGAUCCGUAGCUGGUCUGAGAGGAUGAUCAGCCACACUGGAACUGAGACACGGUCCAGACUCCUACGGGAGGCAGCAGUGGGGAAUAUUGGACCAUGGGCGCAAGCCUGAUCCAGCCAUACCGCGUGGGUGAAGAAGGCCUUCGGGUUGUAAAGCCCUUUUGUUGGGAAAGAAAAGCAGCAGGUUAAUCCCCCGCUGUUCUGACGGUACCCAAAGAAUAAGCACCGGCUAACUUCGUG
RNAcentral lists this ribosomal RNA (492 nucleotides) under uncultured bacterium. RNAcentral's name for it is "partial 16S ribosomal RNA". It matches the Rfam family "Bacterial small subunit ribosomal RNA", at positions 29 to 507 of the family's 1533-position model. The record is from RNAcentral.